UAACACAUGCAAGUCGAACGGUCUCUUCGGAGAUAGUGGCGGACGGGUGAGUAACGCGUAAGAAUCUACCUACAGACUCGGGACAACAGUUGGAAACGACUGCUAAUACCGGAUAUGCCCUCGGGUGAAAGAUUUAUCAUCUGUAGAUGAGCUUGCGUCCGAUUAGCUAGAUGGAGUGGUAAAGGCACACCAUGGCGACGAUCGGUAACUGGUCUGAGAGGAUGACCAGUCACACUGGGACUGAGAUACGGCCCAGACUCCUACGGGAGGCAGCAGUGGGGAAUUUUCCGCAAUGGGCGAAAGCCUGACGGAGCAAUACCGCGUGAGGGAAGAAGGUCUGUGGAUUGUAAACCUCUUUUGUUAGGGAAGAUAAUGACGGUACCUAACGAAUAAGCAUCGGCUAACUCCGUGCCAGCAGCCGCGGUAAGACGGAGGAUGCAAGCGUUAUCCGGAAUUAUUGGGCGUAAAGCGUACGUAGGCGGUUUUAUAAGUCUGUUGUCAAAGCCCGAGGCUUAACCUUGGAAAGGCAAUGGAAACUGUAAGACUAGAGAGAGAUAGGGGCAGGAGGAAUUCCAGGUGUAGCGGUGAAAUGCGUA
RNAcentral lists this ribosomal RNA (596 nucleotides) under uncultured bacterium. Its description in RNAcentral is "bacterial SSU rRNA". It matches the Rfam family "Bacterial small subunit ribosomal RNA", at positions 49 to 692 of the family's 1533-position model. The record is from RNAcentral.